This 291-nucleotide ribosomal RNA is filed under the name uncultured bacterium. RNAcentral describes it as "partial 16S ribosomal RNA". The record is from RNAcentral.
GGACUACACGGGUAUCUAAUCCUGUUUGCUCCCCACGCUUUCGCGCCUCAGCGUCAGUUACAGUCCAGAAAGUCGCCUUCGCCACUGGUGUUCCUCCACAUCUCUACGCAUUUCACCGCUACACGUGGAAUUCCACUUUCCUCUCCUGCACUCAAGCCUUGCAGUUUCCGGUGCGUUCCAGGGUUGAGCCCCAGUCUUAGACACCAGACUUACAAUGCCGCCUGCGCGCGCUUUACGCCCAAUAAUUCCGGACAACGCUUGCCCCCUACGUAUUACCGCGGCUGCUGGCAC